ACGGCCAGAGAUGGUCGCCCCCUUGUGGUCGGUGUACAGGUGGUGCAUGGUUGUCGUCAGCUCGUGUCGUGAGAUGUUGGGUUAAGUCCCGCAACGAGCGCAACCCUCGUUCUAUGUUGCCAGCGCGUUAUGGCGGGGACUCUUAGGAGACUGCCGGGGUCAACUCGGAGGAAGGUGGGGAUGACGUCAAAUCAUCAUGCCCCUUAUGACCUGGGCUACACACGUGCUACAAUGGGUGGUACAACGAGCAGCGAGACCGCGAGGUCAAGCGAAUCUCUAAAAACCAUCCUCAGUUCGGAUUGCAGGCUGCAACUCGCCUGCAUGAAGCUGGAAUCGCUAGUAAUCGCGGAUCAGCACGCCGCGGUGAAUACGUUCCCGGGUCUUGUACACACCGA
Molecule: ribosomal RNA, 395 nt
Filed under: uncultured bacterium
Lineage: Bacteria
Description: bacterial SSU rRNA
Rfam family: Bacterial small subunit ribosomal RNA
Source: RNAcentral